UUCCUGGAGGACUAGUGGUUAGGCCACAGCGCUUUCACCGCUGCAGCCUGCGUUCGAUUCCUGGCCAGGAAA
Molecule: non-coding RNA, 72 nt
Organism: Pangasianodon gigas (Mekong giant catfish)
Lineage: Eukaryota; Metazoa; Chordata; Actinopteri; Siluriformes; Pangasiidae
Source: the annotation of a GenBank genome assembly